Molecule: long non-coding RNA, 1658 nt
Organism: Daucus carota subsp. sativus
Lineage: Eukaryota; Viridiplantae; Streptophyta; Magnoliopsida; Apiales; Apiaceae
Exons: 3
Source: RefSeq, a predicted model, not a curated record
CUCACUUAUUAAACUUCAAUACGAAUUGCACUAUAGUUUUUAAUAUUCUAGACACAGUCUGUUGUCCUCGUCUAGUUAGGUUUUACAGCGAGCAAACUUUACACACUGUCGAAUGUACCAGUCAAUAUCUCUGGGAUACAGUAGUAGGUAUCCAGCUGCAUGGUUCUUUCUUCAUUGUAUUUGUCCUCGCAAAGAAACAGUGCACAAAGUUACAGGUUAAGGGACAUACUGAACAAUAUCCUUCCUUCAUUUCUUUCUAUACUGAGAUUUUUAUAUUAUAGGAUAAGUAAAGCACCCAACAUGAAAUAAUUAAUAUUGAAAUUCAUUAAUAUUUUGAUUAGGACAUCUCUUGCAGUUGAGAAAAAGAAUUUAGCUGUAUUUAGCUUGACAUUGCAUCAGUACAAAUAUUCUAUCGAGGUUAUAGCCUUGUUUGCUUUCUCUUCUGGUUGUAAUACCAAAUUGAUGCUUAUUUGCAAGUCUGAGUGGUGACUACUAUUUAAAUUCCUGAAAGUUAAAACUAUGUUGGUGUUUAAGUUGUAAACAGUUGAGGUAUUAACAGUAUGCUGCCUAUUCAUAUUUUAUAAUAUGUCCAAAUAUUUCAAUGCUCAGAACUACAACAAGUGUUACUCAUGUAAAUUAAUCAAAACUGAGAACUUAGGUGUGGCCGUAUUUUUCAUAUGCAGGAACUGCUUGACUUAGGUGAGACAGUUGGAACUCAAAGUCGUGGUCUUUCCCAAGAGAAUAUUUCCUUGCUCCCAAUCUCGAAGUUCAAGUGUGGGUUUUUUUCUAGAAGAAAAUCUAGAAGAGAAAGGUGUGUGAUUUGCCAGAUGGAGUAUAAACGCGGUGACCAACAGAUUAACCUUCCAUGUAAACAUAUCUAUCAUUCUGGUUGCGGCAGCAGAUGGCUUAGUAUCAACAAGGCUUGCCCCAUUUGUUACAAGGAGGUCUUUGCCAAUGCAUCAAAGCAGUCAGCAAAGUAGUAAGCAGAAAAGGGGAUGCUUCCAUUGCUCAGUUUGUGUUUCUCUUUUAGGUUCUUACUUUCUCUUCCUUUGUUAUAUUCUUCUAUACAGAAAAUUUCUUUUACUUGAUUUGCCUUUGUAGUUUGUAUUAGUUUUUAUCAAAAAGAUGUCAGGAAUUUCACAGAGUUGAUAUACAUGUAACUUUAGUUUGAUAUUAUAGAAAUUUGCUCUUAAUCAUUUCAGUGCUUGGAAACGUGGCAAGAUGUAUUGAUGUCACCUUUGGUGGUGCUACCAUGCGUGAUUGGGUUAACUAAUACAGUAUCUCAUAGUAUUCUGUUCUGUCGUUUGUUUUGGUCUGUAAGAGUAACGGGCGAAAAGCUUUAAAAUGGUGAUAUCCUUAAAAUUCCUCUACUUCAUAUCAACAUGCUUUUAUUAGAGACAUCAAAUCGAAUCUAUUACAAUUCCACAGACAGAGAGAUGCUGACCACACUAAACUCGAAAGAUCCUAAAAUGCAUCAUACAACGUAAUAAUAACAAAAGGUAAAUAAUUUGAUGCGACGAUGUUCAUAUUUAUUUAGUUAGCAGCAUAGAAUCACAAACACUGCAUUUAUUCGUAAUCGACUUGGCUCUUAGUACAUCAUAAGUAGUAACCGUGAAUCAAAAUCAGAAGAUGCAUGCAUGGCAGGCGGGGCAUUGAUA